This is a long non-coding RNA of Drosophila innubila, 412 nucleotides long. RefSeq lists it as uncharacterized. The record is from RefSeq and is a predicted model, not a curated record. NCBI's taxonomy places the organism in Eukaryota, Metazoa, Arthropoda, Insecta, Diptera, Drosophilidae. The transcript is spliced from 3 exons.
UAAAACAUUUUGUGCAAAUUCUCAGAAGUAGCUAAUAAUGUCUAACAAGUGUCAAUUAUUUUUGGUACUUCAGCUAUUAAUCCUGCUAAUGAAAUCUUGGAAGGUAAAAGGCGACUGUUGCCGUGCGACGAAGAAUCUGUGUGACGAUUGGUCACAUCCAACCCCGUGUUGCGGAGUAGAUCAGUGUAAUAUAUUCUGCUGCAAUUGCGAAUGUCGGGAAAAACCUCGUUACGUAUGGUGGUUCGAAAAUUAAUGGUGGUAGUUCUUAGAGAAAACAUUACAGGGUGCUCCGGAUAUUUAAGAACUGCCUUCCAGAGUAAGUCUUGGAAAUGUACUAACUUGUAUAGAAUUGUAUAUAAAAUGUAAUUUUAAUAUAAGUUUCAGUUUAUUUUCAUUAUAGUUAAUUAUUUUA